GAAUGCUGACAUAAGUAACGAUAAAGCGGGUGAAAAGCCCGCUCGCCGGAAGACCAAGGGUUCCUGUCCAACGUUAAUCGGGGCAGGGUGAGUCGACCCCUAAGGCGAGGCCGAAAGGCGUAGUCGAUGGGAAACAGGUUAAUAUUCCUGUACUUGGUGUUACUGCGAAGGGGGGACGGAGAAGGCUAUGUUGGCCGGGCGACGGUUGUCCCGGUUUAAGCGUGUAGGCUGAUUUUCCAGGCAAAUCCGGAAAAUCAAGGCUGAGGCGUGAUGACGAGGCACUACGGUGCUGAAGCAACAAAUGCCCUGCUUCCAGGAAAAGCCUCUAAGCAUCAGGUAACAUCAAAUCGUACCCCAAACCGACACAGGUGGUCAGGUAGAGAAUACCAAGGCGCUUGAGAGAACUCGGGUGAAGGAACUAGGCAAAAUGGUGCCGUAACUUCGGGAGAAGGCACGCUGAUAUGUAGGUGAAGCGACUUGCUCGUGGAGCUGAAAUCAGUCGAAGAUACCAGCUGGCUGCAACUGUUUAUUAAAAACACAGCACUGUGCAAACACGAAAGUGGACGUAUACGGUGUGACGCCUGCCCGGUGCCGGAAGGUUAAUUGAUGGGGUUAGCGGUAACGCGAAGCUCUUGAUCGAAGCCCCGGUAAACGGCGGCCGUAACUAUAACGGUCCUAAGGUAGCGAAAUUCCUUGUCGGGUAAGUUCCGACCUGCACGAAUGGCGUAAUGAUGGCCAGGCUGUCUCCACCCGAGACUCAGUGAAAUUGAACUCGCUGUGAAGAUGCAGUGUACCCGCGGCAAGACGGAAAGACCCCGUGAACCUUUACUAUAGCUUGACACUGAACAUUGAGCCUUGAUGUGUAGGAUAGGUGGGAGGCUUUGAAGUGUGGACGCCAGUCUGCAUGGAGCCGACCUUGAAAUACCACCCUUUAAUGUUUGAUGUUCUAACGUUGGCCCGUUAUCCGGGUUGCGGACAGUGUCUGGUGGGUAGUUUGACUGGGGCGGUCUCCUCCUAAAGAGUAACGGAGGAGCACGAAGGUUGGCUAAUCCUGGUCGGACAUCAGGAGGUUAGUGCAAUGGCAUAAGCCAGCUUGACUGCGAGCGUGACGGCGCGAGCAGGUGCGAAAGCAGGUCAUAGUGAUCCGGUGGUUCUGAAUGGAAGGGCCAUCGCUCAACGGAUAAAAGGUACUCCGGGGAUAACAGGCUGAUACCGCCCAAGAGUUCAUAUCGACGGCGGUGUUUGGCACCUCGAUGUCGGCUCAUCACAUCCUGGGGCUGAAGUAGGUCCCAAGGGUAUGGCUGUUCGCCAUUUAAAGUGGUACGCGAGCUGGGUUUAGAACGUCGUGAGACAGUUCGGUCCCUAUCUGCCGUGGGCGCUGGAGAACUGAGGGGGGCUGCUCCUAGUACGAGAGGACCGGAGUGGACGCAUCACUGGUGUUCGGGUUGUCAUGCCAAUGGCACUGCCCGGUAGCUAAAUGCGGAAGAGAUAAGUGCUGAAAGCAUCUAAGCACGAAACUUGCCCCGAGAUGAGUUCUCCCUGACUCCUUGAGAGUCCUGAAG
This 1562-nucleotide ribosomal RNA is filed under the name Escherichia coli. RNAcentral's name for it is "partial 23S ribosomal RNA". It matches the Rfam family "Bacterial large subunit ribosomal RNA", at positions 1292 to 2833 of the family's 2925-position model. The record is from RNAcentral. Lineage: Bacteria; Pseudomonadati; Pseudomonadota; Gammaproteobacteria; Enterobacterales; Enterobacteriaceae.